AUUGAGAAAGCGGCUGACAAAGAGAAGAAGGGGUAUUCUUAUCCUUUCAACAAAAGUAAUCAUCUGAAGGAGAGUGUGUGUCCGUGUGUGUGUGUGUGUCUGUGUGUUUGGUAGGUUGAGUGGAUUGUUUUAUUUGUGGGGCCAGGAAUUUGAUGGAGCUUCAUUAGUGCAUGUUUUUUUCCUGCAUGUUUCUACUUUACAUGAAAUUACACAUUAGCAUGUGUCACUAUGUAUGUUGUUGAGUGUGUGGGUAGCUAUGUGUGUUUUCAUGUGUGCUCUCUAGUGAGUGUGUGUGUGAGACAGUACCUACAGUUGGAAUGUUCACAAGGCGGCCAUUGUUGUUCAAACAGCCAGCAGCUUUCUCCUUGGCAACCAGAGCUGCUGCAGUAACCCACGGCAACUGUGGAACAGGGGGAGGAGCCAGGAAGUGAGGCCGCAGCACAGAGGCCCCUCUCCAAAACACUGGCCUCAAGGAGCGAUGGGCAGUGGGGAGCAGCAGCCGAGCAAGACAGCAGAGUGUGUAGUGUGUGUUAGAGACAAGUGUGCGUAGUGUAUGUGUUCUGUGUGUGUUUGUGUGUGUGUGUGUUGUGUGUGUAUGUGCAUGGAAUGUGCUGCCAUACUGGCGAUCCAAUGAUCCACAACAGACAGACCGACCCAGACCACAGGGUAAACUCUACGAUCCACAUAGUGGAAGAGAUGAAUGGUCACUAAAUUCCCUGGCUAGAGGCCAGUGACUAGAGGAACACACAGACAGACAGACAAGGAGAGAGAGCUCCUUCACUUCUUCUAAGGGGAUUGCUGGUCCACAAGCCUCUGACUUCACCGUGCCCUCUGUGACAACGCUGUGACAUCACCGUCGCCCCCAGUGGAUGAGCCGCCUGUCUGGACGUCUGCGCUCGGGGGGA
Long non-coding RNA from Esox lucius (northern pike), 905 nucleotides. RefSeq lists it as uncharacterized. The transcript has 3 exons. Lineage: Eukaryota; Metazoa; Chordata; Actinopteri; Esociformes; Esocidae. The record is from RefSeq and is a predicted model, not a curated record.